CAGUAGCGUAUAUUAAAGCUGUUGCGGUUAAAAGGCUCGUAGUUGGAUAUCAGUGCGUGUCCGGUCCGGUAUGCCCGGCGGCGGCGCUCGCGCGUCACUGCCGGGCUCCCAAAUAUCGGCUGGCCGCAUUCAAUCGUGCCGGAUCCGUCGACGGGCCGUUCUACGGAGGGGCCUGUUGGCGACCGGCGACGUUACCUUGAACAAAUUAGAGUGCUCAAAGCAGGCUCUGAAUGCCUGUAUACAUAUUCAUGGAAUUGGAGAAUACGUCCCUGGCUCGAUUUGGUUGGUUUUGAGAGUCGAAGGGAAAUGAUUAAUAGGGACUGACGGAGGCAUUCGUAUUGCGACGCGAGGGGUGAAAUCCUGUGACCGUCGCACGACGAACUACUGCGAAAGCAUUUGCCGAGAAUGUUUUCAUUAG
RNAcentral lists this ribosomal RNA (418 nucleotides) under uncultured eukaryote. Its description in RNAcentral is "partial 18S ribosomal RNA". It matches the Rfam family "Eukaryotic small subunit ribosomal RNA", at positions 592 to 976 of the family's 1831-position model. The record is from RNAcentral.